AGGUGUGAUCAUACCAGCAAUAAUGAUCUGGAUCCCAUCAAAACUCCGCAGAUAAGCUUGCUUGGGUGAUAGUAGUACUAGAAUGGGUGACCUCUUGAGAAGUCCUCGUGUUGCACCUC
Non-coding RNA from Lupinus angustifolius (narrow-leaved blue lupine), 119 nucleotides. The record is from Rfam. NCBI's taxonomy places the organism in Eukaryota, Viridiplantae, Streptophyta, Magnoliopsida, Fabales, Fabaceae.